Molecule: ribosomal RNA, 252 nt
Filed under: uncultured bacterium
Lineage: Bacteria
Description: partial 16S ribosomal RNA
Rfam family: Bacterial small subunit ribosomal RNA
Source: RNAcentral
UACGGAGGAUGCGAGCGUUAUCCGGAUUUAUUGGGUUUAAAGGGUGCGUAGGCGGACGCUUAAGUCAGCGGUAAAAUUGCGGGGCUCAACCUCGUCGAGCCGUUGAAACUGGGUGCCUUGAGUGGGCGAGAAGUACGCGGAAUGCGUGGUGUAACGGUGAAAUGCAUAGAUAUCACGCAGAACUCCGAUUGCGAAGGCAGCGUACCGGCGCCCAACUGACGCUGAAGCACGAAGGCGUGGGUAUCGAACAGG